RNAcentral lists this ribosomal RNA (301 nucleotides) under uncultured bacterium. RNAcentral describes it as "partial 16S ribosomal RNA". It matches the Rfam family "Bacterial small subunit ribosomal RNA", at positions 509 to 807 of the family's 1533-position model. The record is from RNAcentral.
CAGUAGCCGCGGUAAGACAGAGGAUGCAAGCGUUAUCCGGAAUGAUUGGGCGUAAAGCGUCUGUAGGUGGCUUUUCAAGUCCGCCGUCAAAUCCCAGGGCUCAACCCUGGACAGGCGGUGGAAACUACCAAGCUGGAGUACGGUAGGGGCAGAGGGAAUUUCCGGUGGAACGGUGAAAUGCGUUGAGAUCGGAAAGAACACCAGCGGCGAAAGCACUCUGCUGGGUCGACACUGACACUGAGAGACGAAAGCUAGGGGAGCAAAUGGGAUUAGAGACCCCUGUAGUCCCUGUCUCUUAUAC